This 247-nucleotide ribosomal RNA is filed under the name uncultured bacterium. RNAcentral's name for it is "partial small subunit ribosomal RNA". It matches the Rfam family "Bacterial small subunit ribosomal RNA", at positions 26 to 285 of the family's 1533-position model. The record is from RNAcentral.
AGAAUCAACGCUGGCGGCGUGCCUAACACAUGCAAGUCGAACGAGAAAGUGGAGCAAUCCAUGAGUAAAGUGGCGCACGGGUGAGUAACACGUGACUAACCUACCCUUGAGUGGGGGAUAACCUAGAGAAAUCUGGGCUAAUACCGCAUAAUACCUUCGGGUCAAAGGAGCAAAUUCGGCUUUAGGAGGGGGUCGCGGCCGAUUAGUUAGUUGGCGGGGUAAUGGCCCACCAAGACUGUGAUCGGUA